AAGCUAAAUACCGGCCAGAGACCGAUAGCGCACAAGUAGAGUGAUCGAAAGAUGAAAAGCACUUUGAAAAGAGAGUUAAAAAGUACGUGAAAUUGUUGAAAGGGAAGCGUUUAUGACCAGACUUGGGCUUGGUUAAUCAUCCAGGGUUCUCCC
This 153-nucleotide ribosomal RNA is filed under the name Fusarium decemcellulare. RNAcentral describes it as "5.8S ribosomal RNA". It matches the Rfam family "Eukaryotic large subunit ribosomal RNA", at positions 313 to 467 of the family's 3401-position model. The record is from RNAcentral. Lineage: Eukaryota; Fungi; Ascomycota; Sordariomycetes; Hypocreales; Nectriaceae.